This is a long non-coding RNA of Pantherophis guttatus, 450 nucleotides long. RefSeq lists it as uncharacterized. Lineage: Eukaryota; Metazoa; Chordata; Lepidosauria; Squamata; Colubridae. The record is from RefSeq and is a predicted model, not a curated record.
GGGAGGGGUCAUGGAUUUAGAUUUCCUGUUCCAAUCAGACCUUACAGUAGAACAAACAAAAGAAUCACAGUCUCGUUGGAGUUUAUAUUUCCAGUUUUUUUAAAAAAAAUCUAUUGCAGUUCACAUGCAGAAAACUGGGCUGUUUAAGAGGAGAUUCUGAUCAGGAGAAUCACAGGAGCUGCAAAAGUAGUUUCUGUCUUCAGCAGGACUUCUGUGUGGAUUUACCUUGGAUCUUGUAACUUUUCAGUAUGACUUGAGAAUUCUGGAACAGACUUUGCAUAUUUACAAGUCAGAAGCUGAUCAGAGGUCCUCCUAAUACCAUCAAGAAUUUUUCAAUGAUUUGUCCCAUCUUCUUUAUGAUCUUCCACCUGCCAUUUAAUGCAAAAGGGCCAUUGAGAUGACUCCUCCAGUCAAGGCCAAGAAAACCCAGAGACUUCUACAAAAGUGGAG